AACUCUUGUGCGACGCCUGCUCAACUCGAACACGGAGUUCAGUUCAUCUUCUCGAACGUUAAAAAAAAAAACCUCCGGAACAAACUAGGAUUCGUAGCCUUAUCGCUGUCGUAUUUUGGUCUGGAAAGAGAGGUUAAUCAAGCCAGUAGCCAGUAAGCAAGCGAAAGCUAUUUUGAUCAUUGGACAAGAUGCCACUUGGCUGCAGACAUGCUUUGCCUCUCUUGUUACACUUGACAUUAGAGGAUAAAAAUCAGGUGGAGCUUCUGCUUUUUUAAUGCAAGCUGUAUGGAUUUUGCCGGGGACAAACCAAGCAGUGCCUGUGUAUUAAACACCAUGAGGGCACAUUGCAGUUCACCGUCUAAAUGAGCGGCACAUACAGUCUAAACACAGCAGCCAGUUUGAAGUCUAGGAAAAAAAUCUCAACAGACAAUUAGAAGCAUCAGGUGGUCCGUUUUUAGCAGCUGCCUUCGAAACAUCUGUCCUGCCUGAAAAAAUACCACAGGGAGCAGUGGAUGACCUAUCACGUGGUCCAAUUUCUUGUAUCAGAAGGCUAGCCUGAGCCCCACCCCUGCCACCGCCCUCCUUUUUUUUUUGUCGCAAGAAAGGCACCUCACAUGUCUCGCUCACAUGGCGUCAGUGAAUGUAAUUCUCAAGAUAUAGUAUGCUUUCAGUCCAAGCAUGUGACUGCCUUUUUAUUGAUUUUGUUGCAGUGCUUUACCAUUUGUGUGGA
Molecule: long non-coding RNA, 730 nt
Organism: Populus nigra (black poplar)
Lineage: Eukaryota; Viridiplantae; Streptophyta; Magnoliopsida; Malpighiales; Salicaceae
Exons: 2
Source: RefSeq, a predicted model, not a curated record